This 495-nucleotide ribosomal RNA is filed under the name uncultured bacterium. RNAcentral describes it as "partial 16S ribosomal RNA". It matches the Rfam family "Bacterial small subunit ribosomal RNA", at positions 28 to 507 of the family's 1533-position model. The record is from RNAcentral.
GACGAACGCUGGCGGCGUGCCUAAUACAUGCAAGUAGAACGCUGAAGGAGGAGCUUGCUUCUCCGGAUGAGUUGCGAACGGGUGAGUAACGCGUAGGUAACCUGCCUGGUAGCGGGGGAUAACUAUUGGAAACGAUAGCUAAUACCGCAUAAGAGUGGAUGUCGCAUGACAUUUGCUUAAAAGGUGCAACUGCACCACUACCAGAUGGACCUGCGUUGUAUUAGCUAGUUGGUGAGGUAACGGCUCACCAAGGCAACGAUACAUAGCCGACCGGAGAGGGUGAUCGGCCAAGCUGGGACUGAGACACGGCCCAGACUCCUACGGGAGGCAGCAGUAGGGAAUCUUCGGCAAUGGACGGAAGUCUGACCGAGCAACGCCGCGUGAGUGAAGAAGGUUUUCGGAUCGUAAAGCUCUGUUGUAAGAGAAGAACGAGUGUGAGAGUGGAAAGUUCACACUGUGACGGUAUCUUACCAGAAAGGGACGGCUAACUACGUG